UACAGAGGUCUCAAGCGUUGUUCGGAUUCAUUGGGCGUAAAGGGUGUGUAGGUGGCGCGCUAAGUCGGGUGUGAAAUUUCGGAGCUUAACUCCGAAACUGCAUUCGAUACUGGCGUGCUUGAGGACUGGAGAGGAGACUGGAAUUUACGGUGUAGCGGUGAAAUGCGUAGAUAUCGUAAGGAAGACCAGUGGCGAAGGCGAGUCCCUAGACAACUCCUGACACUGAGGCACGAAAGCUAGGGGAGCAAACAGG
RNAcentral lists this ribosomal RNA (253 nucleotides) under uncultured bacterium. Its description in RNAcentral is "partial 16S ribosomal RNA". It matches the Rfam family "Bacterial small subunit ribosomal RNA", at positions 524 to 776 of the family's 1533-position model. The record is from RNAcentral.